GUCCAAACCGCACCGCCUCCACAUACCAUUGCAUUGGUGAGUAGGUUUCAGCAUUUGGAUUUGGGGGAGAACAAACAUUCAGACCAUAGUGGAAAGUAAUAAAUUAUAUGUCCUGAAAGCACAGAUGACAGUUGCUAAUUCACCUCGGAGGAGGUCAGAGAGAUUAGUAGGUUUUUCUAGUUAAUAUGCUACUGUUAACUGAGAUAUGAAUUGGUUUAAGGAGAGAAAAUAAUAGUUUUGGUUUUGAACAUGCUGAAUUUGAGGUAAUACUUGCCCAUGAAGGUGAUCUGUAGACAACUGAAAUGCCGACCUAAAGUUUAGGAGAUGCUUCCCGUGUAAAAAGAAGAUAUGACAUUUGAAAGGACAUAGGUUAUAUGCAUUUGAUCUGGUGAAAAAUAUGGGGGAAAAUGUAUUAGUUAUCUAUUGAUACAUAAGCAAAACCCACAAACUUAGCAGCUUAAAAAGGUUUCUGUAGAUAGUCCUGUAAUUCCUGUGUGUCAGGAGUCUAAACAUGGCUUAGCUGAGGCCUCUGCCUUAGGGUCCCAAACAGCUAAAAUCAAGGUGUUCACAUAGAUUUUUUCCAUAUUCUAUUGGCUAGAAGCAAGUUACAGACCACACCCACACGUGAGGGAAGGGGAUCACUUGCAAGACUGAACACCAGGAGGUGGGGAUCUUGGGAGCCACUCUCAAGUCUGUCUGCACAAAAGAGAUCCAAAAAUACCAGACUCCCACUCAUAUUCAGCUUGCAUUUAAAAAAUAUGACAGUGCCCACAUAUAUAAUUUUGCUUGGAAAAUGCUAACUGGUGUAUAUUUAAUUUAACCCGACAACACCUAAGUGCAGCCGGUGCCCUAACACAUGGACACAGGAAGGGGAACAUCAUACACCGGGGCCUGUUGUGGGGUGGGGGGAGCGGGGAGGGAUGGUAUUAGGAGAUAUACGUAAUGUUAAAUGAAGAGUUAAUGGGUGCAGCACACCAACACGGCACAUGUAUACAUAUGUAACAAACCUGCACAUUGUGCACAUGUACCCUAAAACUUAAAGUAUAAUAAAAAAAAAAAAUUAAAAAAAAAAAGAAAUAGCUCC
RNAcentral lists this long non-coding RNA (1084 nucleotides) under Pan troglodytes (chimpanzee). RNAcentral describes it as "long non-coding RNA NONPTRT013431". The record is from RNAcentral. Lineage: Eukaryota; Metazoa; Chordata; Mammalia; Primates; Hominidae.